This 106-nucleotide microRNA precursor is filed under the name Marmota monax (woodchuck). Lineage: Eukaryota; Metazoa; Chordata; Mammalia; Rodentia; Sciuridae. The record is from RNAcentral.
AGUGGGAUAGCUGGGUCAAAUGAUGGUUCCAUUCCAUGUUUUCUGAGGAAUGUCCUCCAUACUACUUUCCAGAGUGGUUUCACCAAUUUGCAGUCCCACCAGCAAU